GUGAAUCAUCGAAUUUUUGAACGCAAAUUGCACUCUCUGGCAUUCCGGAGAGUAUGCCUGUUUGAGGGUCAGUAUAAAUAAAAAUCGAGGUGUUGCUGUUUUUUGUCCCAUCGGACUUGGGUUAUUUUUGCCCUUUUAAAAAUUUUAAUUGACCUAAAAUUGAUUCAUUUUUCAUCCAACCGGUACGUAUAAAUAUUAUUUAAGCUUA
Molecule: unclassified non-coding RNA, 208 nt
Filed under: Glomeraceae sp.
Lineage: Eukaryota; Fungi; Glomeromycota; Glomeromycetes; Glomerales; Glomeraceae
Description: partial contains 5.8S ribosomal RNA and internal transcribed spacer 2
Rfam family: 5.8S ribosomal RNA (bases 1-71)
Source: RNAcentral